AAUGCCCUGCUUCCAGGAAAAGCCUCUAAGCAUCAGGUAACACGAAAUCGUACCCCAAACCGACACAGGUGGUCAGGUAGAGAAUACCAAGGCGCUUGAGAGAACUCGGGUGAAGGAACUAGGCAAAAUGGUGCCGUAACUUCGGGAGAAGGCACGCUGACACGUAGGUGAAGUGAUUUACUCAUGGAGCUGAAGUCAGUCGAAGAUACCAGCUGGCUGCAACUGUUUAUUAAAAACACAGCACUGUGCAAACACGAAAGUGGACGUAUACGGUGUGACGCCUGCCCGGUGCCGGAAGGUUAAUUGAUGGGGUCAGCGUAAGCGAAGCUCCUGAUCGAAGCCCCGGUAAACGGCGGCCGUAACUAUAACGGUCCUAAGGUAGCGAAAUUCCUUGUCGGGUAAGUUCCGACCUGCACGAAUGGCGUAAUGAUGGCCAGGCUGUCUCCACCCGAGACUCAGUGAAAUUGAACUCGCUGUGAAGAUGCAGUGUACCCGCGGCAAGACGGAAAGACCCCGUGAACCUUUACUAUAGCUUGACACUGAACAUUGAGCCUUGAUGUGUAGGAUAGGUGGGAGGCUUUGAAGUGUGGACGCCAGUCUGCAUGGAGCCGACCUUGAAAUACCACCCUUUAAUGUUUGAUGUUCUAACGUGGACCCGUAAUCCGGGUUGCGGACAGUGUCUGGUGGGUAGUUUGACUGGGGCGGUCUCCUCCUAAAGAGUAACGGAGGAGCACGAAGGUUGGCUAAUCCUGGUCGGACAUCAGGAGGUUAGUGCAAUGGCAUAAGCCAGCUUGACUGCGAGCGUGACGGCGCGAGCAGGUGCGAAAGCAGGUCAUAGUGAUCCGGUGGUUCUGAAUGGAAGGGCCAUCGCUCAACGGAUAAAAGGUACUCCGGGGAUAACAGGCUGAUACCGCCCAAGAGUUCAUAUCGACGGCGGUGUUUGGCACCUCGAUGUCGGCUCAUCACAUCCUGGGGCUGAAGUAGGUCCCAAGGGUAUGGCUGUUCGCCAUUUAAAGUGGUACGCGAGCUGGGUUUAGAACGUCGUGAGACAGUUCGGUCCCUAUCUGCCGUGGGCGCUGGAGAACUGAGGGGGGCUGCUCCUAGUACGAGAGGACCGGAGUGGACGCAUCACUGGUGUUCGGGUUGUCAUGCCAAUGGCACUGCCCGGUAGCUAAAUGCGGAAGAGAUAAGUGCUGAAAGCAUCUAAGCACGAAACUUGCCCCGAGAUGAGUUCUCCCUGAGACUUAGAGUCUCCUGAAGGAACGUUGAAGACGACGACGUUGAUAGGCCGGGUGUGUAAGCGCAGCGAUGCGUUGAGCUAACCGGUACUAAUGAACCGUGAGGCUUAA
RNAcentral lists this ribosomal RNA (1349 nucleotides) under Salmonella enterica subsp. enterica serovar Typhimurium. RNAcentral's name for it is "partial 23S ribosomal RNA". It matches the Rfam family "Bacterial large subunit ribosomal RNA", at positions 1596 to 2925 of the family's 2925-position model. The record is from RNAcentral. Lineage: Bacteria; Pseudomonadati; Pseudomonadota; Gammaproteobacteria; Enterobacterales; Enterobacteriaceae.